This 254-nucleotide ribosomal RNA is filed under the name uncultured bacterium. RNAcentral describes it as "partial 16S ribosomal RNA". It matches the Rfam family "Bacterial small subunit ribosomal RNA", at positions 524 to 776 of the family's 1533-position model. The record is from RNAcentral.
UACGUAGGGUCCGAGCGUUGUCCGGAUUCAUUGGGCGUAAAGAGCUCGUAGGCGGCUCAGUAAGUCGGAUGUGAAAACUCAGGGCUCAACCCGGAGACGCCAUCCGAUACUGCUGUGGCUUGAGUCUGGUAGGGGAACACGGAAUACCUGGUGUAGCGGUGAAAUGCGCAGAUAUCAGGAAGAACACCAAUGGCGAAAGCAGCUCUCUGGGACGGUACUGACGCUGAGACGCGAAAGCGUGGGGAGCGAACAGG